CAGAUGGACUAUCUAGUGUUAAAUCCACAUGAUUGGCGUGAUAGGAAGUGCAGAGAAGUAGCUAGGCAGACUGAGGGAGACUCUACAUACAUAGAUGCUAUAGAUCACCACUUUGUGCAAUUAUCCAUCAUCACAUAGACAUACAGGUUUCCAUUUGUUGGUUUUUUUGGAUUGCCUAUUAAGUCCAUGCCUAUCAAAGGGUUGUGAAACCUAAAAGGAAAGAGAAAACAAAAGUAUAAAUUAACUACAGUAAAUGGAGCAUUGUACUAAGGUUGCAAAAUUUGAGCAACAGAAUGUAGUUCAAAGGUCUUAAUGUUUGGCAUUAAGACCUUUGAAGCAGAAUACCAUAUUUUUAAAAGGACUAAGCAGUAAAUUUCAAAAUCAUGUAUUGGAAAGUUUUAGCAUUUCCUAUAUACAUUACAAUCAUAAAAAGCUAUAAAUUGUAGUUUUUGGACUACAAAGAAAUACUGUCACAGUUUUCCCAAGAGCUCUGACCAACAUGCAGAUAACACUUAGACGGAAAGGCAAAGGUUUUUUAGAUUUAUUUACACAAAUAAACGUAAUUGAUCUUCUGGAGCUGGAACACAGCAGUGACAGGACAGCGGCAUAUCAAUGGAGAGUCAGACAGAUUUGAAUCUUGGAACUUGCAAUGUGGAAACUUGAGCUGAUUUACAGGUUCAAUGAGUGAACACCACCAGGGAGGAACAAGUGGGGUCUUCACUGGAGGACAGGUUCUAACCAGGAAGUCUGUAACAGUUACAUGUUUGAUCACACAGGUCAGUUUCACCAGAGUCUUUAGAAGCAGGAGCGGUGGAGGGUGAGCAGGGUUCGACCGAGGAAGGUUCCUGGAGGAGCAGCUGACCACCGCCAGCUAGGACUGAGAACCAGUGACUGGCGGAUCUCCGGGAAUGUCAAGUUAAGCGCUGCCGCACAGCCGCACCUAGGCCUGGUUGCUGAAAGUCCCGGUGUGUGACAUUCACAUAUAGCCGGUGGGUUAUCGUCUUUCUCGACGCCGGGUGACUCUGGGGAUCCGACAGAGUCACCUAGAAGUCAACUCCGAGUGACUCUGGGAUCCGUGGGGGAAGCCUGACGUCGAGCGAAGCACCGCUGCACAGCCUCCAUU
Molecule: long non-coding RNA, 1123 nt
Organism: Girardinichthys multiradiatus
Lineage: Eukaryota; Metazoa; Chordata; Actinopteri; Cyprinodontiformes; Goodeidae
Exons: 3
Source: RefSeq, a predicted model, not a curated record